Molecule: ribosomal RNA, 878 nt
Filed under: Bacillus velezensis
Lineage: Bacteria; Bacillati; Bacillota; Bacilli; Caryophanales; Bacillaceae
Description: bacterial SSU rRNA
Rfam family: Bacterial small subunit ribosomal RNA
Source: RNAcentral
UAUUAUUGGGCGUAAGGGCUCGCAGGCGGUUCUUAAGUCUGAUGUGAAAGCCCCCGGCUCAACCGGGGAGGGUCAUUGGAAACUGGGGAACUUGAGUGCAGAAGAGGAGAGGGAAUUCCACGUGUAGCGGUGAAAUGCGUAGAGAUGUGGAGGAACACCAGUGGCGAAGGCGACUCUCUGGUCUGUAACUGACGCUGAGGAGCGAAAGCGUGGGGAGCGAACAGGAUUAGAUACCCUGGUAGUCCACGCCGUAAACGAUGAGUGCUAAGUGUUAGGGGGUUUCCGCCCCUUAGUGCUGCAGCUAACGCAUUAAGCACUCCGCCUGGGGAGUACGGUCGCAAGACUGAAACUCAAAGGAAUUGACGGGGGCCCGCACAAGCGGUGGAGCAUGUGGUUUAAUUCGAAGCAACGCGAAGAACCUUACCAGGUCUUGACAUCCUCUGACAAUCCUAGAGAUAGGACGUCCCCUUCGGGGGCAGAGUGACAGGUGGUGCAUGGUUGUCGUCAGCUCGUGUCGUGAGAUGUUGGGUUAAGUCCCGCAACGAGCGCAACCCUUGAUCUUAGUUGCCAGCAUUCAGUUGGGCACUCUAAGGUGACUGCCGGUGACAAACCGGAGGAAGGUGGGGAUGACGUCAAAUCAUCAUGCCCCUUAUGACCUGGGCUACACACGUGCUACAAUGGACAGAACAAAGGGCAGCGAAACCGCGAGGUUAAGCCAAUCCCACAAAUCUGUUCUCAGUUCGGAUCGCAGUCUGCAACUCGACUGCGUGAAGCUGGAAUCGCUAGUAAUCGCGGAUCAGCAUGCGCGGUGAAUACGUUCCCGGGCUUGUACACACCGCCCGUCACACCACGAGAGUUUGUACACCCGAAGUCGGUGA